AAUCAUCCGCCAUGGGCGAAAGCCUGACGGUGCGACGCCGCGUGAACUCUGAAGGUCNNNGGUUUNUCAAGUUCUGUUGUUAGNGACNAAUAAGUGCCAUUUAAAUAGGUUGGCACCUUGACGGUACCUCACUAGAGAGCCCCGGCUACCUACGUGCCACCAGCCGCGGUAAUACGUAGGGGGCAAGCGUUUUCCGGAAUUAUUGGGCGUAAGGGCUCGAAGGCGGUUUCUUAAGUCGGAUGUGAAAUAUUGCGGCUCAACCGCAAGAGGUAAUUGGAAACUGGGAGGCUUGAGUAUAAGAGAGGAAAGUGGAAUUCCACGUGUAGCGGUGAAAUGCGUAGAGAUGUGGAGGAACACCAGUGGCGAAGGCGACUUUCUGGCUUAUAACUGACGCUUAGGAGCGAAAGCGUGGGUAGCAAACA
RNAcentral lists this ribosomal RNA (422 nucleotides) under uncultured bacterium. RNAcentral's name for it is "partial 16S ribosomal RNA". It matches the Rfam family "Bacterial small subunit ribosomal RNA", at positions 360 to 774 of the family's 1533-position model. The record is from RNAcentral.